RNAcentral lists this ribosomal RNA (349 nucleotides) under uncultured bacterium. RNAcentral's name for it is "bacterial SSU rRNA". It matches the Rfam family "Bacterial small subunit ribosomal RNA", at positions 28 to 372 of the family's 1533-position model. The record is from RNAcentral.
GACGAACGCUGGCGGCGUGCCUAACACAUGCAAGUCUACGAGAAAAGGGUAGCAAUAUCCUGAGUAAAGUGGCGCACGGGUGAGUAACACGUAGGCAAUCUGCCCUUAGGACGGGAACAACCCCGGGAAACCGGGCUAAUACCCGAUAAUGCAGCGGCACCGCAUGGUGACAGUUGUUAAAUGCCCGCAAGGGCGCCUAGAGAUGAGCCUGCGUCCCAUUAGGUAGUUGGUGAGGAACGGCCCACCAAGCCUACGAUGGGUAGCUGAUCUGAGAGGAUGAUCAGCCACACUGGAACUGAGACACGGUCCAGACUCCUACGGGAGGCAGCAGUGAGGAAUAUUGCGCAAU